This 529-nucleotide ribosomal RNA is filed under the name uncultured bacterium. RNAcentral describes it as "bacterial SSU rRNA". It matches the Rfam family "Bacterial small subunit ribosomal RNA", at positions 152 to 698 of the family's 1533-position model. The record is from RNAcentral.
GGAAACUGCUGAUAAUACCGGAUAAGGUCAUUAAGCUGCAUAGCUUAGUGAUGAAAGGAGACGCCUGCGGACAGCCUUGCGUCCUAUUAGCUAGUUGGAGGGGUAACGGCCCACCAAGGCGAAGAUAGGUAGCCGGCCUGAGAGGGUGGACGGCCACAAGGGGACUGAGAUACGGCCCUUACUCCUACGGGAGGCAGCAGUGGGGAAUAUUGGACAAUGGGGGCAACCCUGAUCCAGCAAUUCUGUGUGCACGAAGACGGUUUUCGGAUUGUAAAAUGCUUUCAGCAGGGAAGAAGGAAGUGACGGUACCUGCAGAAGAAGCGACGGCUAAAUACGUGCCAGCAGCCGCGGUAAUACGUAUGUCGCGAGCGUUAUCCGGAAUUAUUGGGCAUAAAGGGCAUCUAGGCGGCCUGUUAAGUCAGCGGCGAAAUCUAGGAGCUUAACUCCUAAAUUGCCAUUGAUACUGGCGGGCUUGAGUGUAGAUGAGGUAGGCGGAAUGCGUGGUGUAGCGGUGGAAUGCAUAGAUAUC